UGGCGGACGGGUGAGUAACACGUGAGCAACCUGCCUUUCAGAGGGGGAUAACGGCUGGAAGCGGUCGCUAAUACCGCAUGAUGUGUUCGGAUGGCAUCAUCUGAACAUCAAAGAUUUAUCGCUGAAAGAUGGGCUCGCGUCUGAUUAGAUAGUUGGUGGGGUAACGGCCUACCAAGUCUACGAUCAGUAGCCGGACUGAGAGGUUGAACGGCCACAUUGGGACUGAGAUACGGCCCAGACUCCUACGGGAGGCAGCAGUGGGGAAUAUUGCACAAUGGGGGAAACCCUGAUGCAGCAACGCCGCGUGAAGGAUGACGGUUUUCGGAUUGUAAACUUCUUUUCUUGGUGACGAAGACAGUGACGGUAGCUAAGGAAUAAGCAUCGGCUAACUACGUGCCAGCAGCCGCGGUAAUACGUAGGAUGCAAGCGUUAUCCGGAUUUACUGGGUGUAAAGGGAGCGCAGGCGGGACUGC
Molecule: ribosomal RNA, 473 nt
Filed under: uncultured bacterium
Lineage: Bacteria
Description: bacterial SSU rRNA
Rfam family: Bacterial small subunit ribosomal RNA
Source: RNAcentral